AAAGUUGUUUCAUUGAAGUGUGGUUCUGAUUUUUGACAAUUCAAAUUCAAAGAAGUUCUGGUGUGAUUUCAAGUGUGUUUCGGUUCAAUCACAUCUGGUUUCAUUUGCUUUUGGUGUUUAUUCUUCUGUAAAUUAUCUUUGGGUUGCUGGGUAUUUCUGGGAUAUGAAAUCGAUCCAAUUGCCUUGGCUCUGGGCUACUGUCUGCUAUUGUUUUAGCUGACCUUCCUUUUUUUAUUUCUAUUCUAUUUCCAGGUAUAUGCUUAAUCUCAAGAGGUAUUGGAGAUUGUAUCAGC
Molecule: long non-coding RNA, 293 nt
Filed under: Nicotiana benthamiana
Lineage: Eukaryota; Viridiplantae; Streptophyta; Magnoliopsida; Solanales; Solanaceae
Description: long non-coding RNA (NBEN_LNC032068)
Source: RNAcentral